Long non-coding RNA from Pyrus x bretschneideri (Chinese white pear), 4058 nucleotides. RefSeq lists it as uncharacterized. The record is from RefSeq and is a predicted model, not a curated record. NCBI's taxonomy places the organism in Eukaryota, Viridiplantae, Streptophyta, Magnoliopsida, Rosales, Rosaceae. The transcript is spliced from 5 exons.
UAACCAAAAAAAAAAAAAGAAAAAAAAAAAAGAAAUACAACACAUGAUGAGCGAUGGAAUAUCUGCUUGUUCAGGUGAAAAAGCUAUUGGGAGAAUCCGAAAGCCUAGAUCUAUCUAAUAAUAUUUUAUUAGAGAAUCAGCAAAUGAAAGAGAGGAAGAAAAGGAGAUUACGUGUAAGAUCGAGUGGGGGCAUCAUAGACCUCCAUAGCCCCCACCAGCUCUCUCUGUCCUCCAGAGUCUCCCCCACCAUCAUUUCCCCUCUCUUUUUUAAUUCGUCUCUUUCGCAGAUAUUUUUCAUCUCUCUCAACUCCCUCCUCUCGCACCUUCUUUUUCCUCGUUAGGCAUCCGCUCACUACUGUCUCCUCCAUUGAAGCAGAGAUCUCCUUCUCCUCAUCCUCUGUUUGUCCCCUUCUCUCCGUCCGCUUCUCCUGAUUCCACCGACAUCGCGAUCUUCCUUAAUCACCGCGUUUCUCUGCCUGCAUUCUCCUUCUUCUGCUUUAUUCCAUUUCCUCCACCUCUUCCGACCUGUAAUUUCGCUGUUUCUUGACUAAUAUCCGUCCGCCUUCGACCGCGAACCGUCUGUUUGUCUGCCAAGAAAACUACGAGAAAAUUCCAGAAAAUUACAAGCUUAAAUGAAACUGAGAAAGAAUCGCGUAAUAGUAGAGUCCUUAUCGUAAGCCCUACGUCAAAAUAAUAUUAUUGUAGAGGAAAUUUAUUUUGUUUUGGAGACAGACGCCUUCACUUCGCAAUUCAGUCAGGACGUCAAAUCAUUACAGAUGCUAUCAGUGAAAUAUCAAACUGCGUGAACAUGAAUGUAAACACCUCUUACACCAUUUUGUGAAAUACAAUACUUCAAUGGACCAAACUUGAAUGCAGGAAGAAAAGUGGAACUGGAAAAAUUCUCAGAGUGAGGUUAUUACUGCCUCUGGGAUGAGCCUUACCAAUAAUUGCAUUUGGACUCUCAUUCAGAUCUCCAUUCUUGAAUUGAAACACCUCAAACGGAUUUCUUAAUACUGAGCAACUUCACACAUAUGGGAGCAGACGUAUUUGGUGCUUUGUCAUAGCAAUAACCUCAUGCCCCAUUGUUACUGAACUUGGGAGGUUAGCUAUUCAGUCUUUGCUCAUUGGUUCCAAGAUUCUGUUUGGAAUUAAUGCCUGAGCUUCCACCAAAUUGCAACUUUGUUGCUAUGAUCUGUCAAGAAGAACGACCUAUCUAUGAUCUGUCAAGAAGAACGAACUAUCUUUUAAUGGAAUUAUUUCGAAAGCUGUGUACUUGUUGGAACUCCGUCCUUGUGAUGCAUCAGUUGGUUUCUUGACUGCCCAUUUUCCUCUGCAAUUGCAAAUGAAGAGCAUCACGGCUUUGGCUGAUGAAACAACAUUGAAAUCUGAAUUGAUUUUGGCAUUCUGUUUCGUUCAUAGUCUUCCAGCCACCUCAAAUGCUUUUUUUGAAAAGAGUGAAGAAAAACAUUCCUGUUCUUGAUUGAUCUCUAUCUAUAGACGAAGACCCAUGUCAUUGGAGUUCUUCAAAUCCAUGAUUUUGACUUAUGGGCUCACGAAACAGUCAUGCGUAUUGAAUUGGCAACUAGUUAUGCAAGGAAGUCCUCUGUUAUCACAGUUGUCCUUCUGUGACCAACCCUUAAUCACAACUUCUUACGCAAAUGAAGAAGGUGAAAUCGGAUCAACAAUUUGGAAGAAGUAGCUUGAAGCUGUAUGCUCCCUCACUUUUAUUGUGUUCGGGACUUCUGAUUGGAAAUUUACUUCUGGGAGAUUGACAUUUUGGAUGAUAUGCUGUUAUAUAUCAAGGAAUAAUAUGCAACGAAGCCUUCUGUAGUGUCCUAACACAUAAAAGGAAUGGUGUUACCAAUACUUUAACUAGUCGACUCUGGACAUCUUGGUAGGCUUCAGUUUCCUCGGAUUGUAAGGAUUGGUCCUCUCAUGCUAUCUAUUCUGAUUGGAAAGCUUUUAUAAAUUAGUCGUUUCUCUUCUUUGGUUCUCAUUGGUUUCUAUUUUGUUGUUCUUUAGAUCGGUGUAAUUCAGCAAACACCUUGUCCCCUGUCUUGUAGUUUCUUUGUCUUUGCUGCGAAAAUAUUUGUUUUCCAUAAAAUAAAAAUUAGGUAUGCCAACCAUAUGUUUUUAGAGCGUUUAUAAUUUCUUAGGAUGGGUGAGGGUGCAAAUCUCUUUCAACCGCAUAUACAAUUUACAAGCAGAUGUAUGUAUCCCUAGGUUGGAGAGCUGAUAUGAAGAUUUGACAAGAAUUAUGUUGAUGGCGAAACUUACUAAAUUGAUGCAUUCAAUGCCACCAAUGGGAUCACUUGAACCAUUAUAUGAAGACUUUAUUUCAGAGUAUUUGUUCCAACUUCUAUCUUCCAAACAUACAUCCACAAAUUCAGGUUGUAUAUGGAGCAUAGUUGUAUCGUUGUUUGCUUUCAUUUGUGUUUUUUUCGAUUGUAGAGAAGUCUAGUAUAAGUUACAGGUGCGAGUCAUUUUUAAAUGGGUUUUCCUGAAAAGCAGCCGUCAGUGAGCAACCAUCAUUGCCGGUACCCUUCGGCUGUCCUACAAAUCAUUGGGGUGGCUGCUGUACUUCAUUAAAUUACUUAGCAAUGACAAUCUAAUGCGUUCUGCGUAUGUUCUGUUAUGAUGAAUCAAACAGCAGUCUUAACUUUCUAGUUUCUCCUAACACCCUUUUCUUUGUAAAGUUUUGGGAUUUCUUACUGUAUAGAGUUUAAUUUCUACUUUAUUCUCACAUAUUUUUAAAAUUUAGUCAUUAGAUUUAUUAUAAAAGAUAUGUGUGAGUACAUACAUAUCUUGCUGUACGAUUUGAUGAAUGAUCUGUUUGUUAUUUCAGAGCCGUAUGUUAAAAGAAACUCACAUGUUAAAUUUUUUUGAAGUAUAUUCUCAAGGAAAAGCUUGCAGGAUAGGAACUGAUGGAUACCUUAAUCUCAGAAGCUGGAUUCCCAAAUUGACGGUGCUCCUCUUUUGCUUUGUUGUAUCGUUCAAUUGCUGAUUUCAUGCUGGUAAGAAGAUACAUUUAUAUCAGAUAUACUCUUCGCUUUUUGUGAGCUUAGCACAAAAAGAAUUUGGAAUAUGAUUUCAAGAAUCUGUAUAUGGAUAUGGAACGAAAGAAAAUUGACAUAUCAUGGUAACAUUUUAGACUAUGACUUUUUAAUAGACUUCCAUGCAAGCUUCUUUUUUCUUUUAAGCUGCUGUUACUGAUGAAGAUGUGGUUUUCAGAUCUGCUACCAGACAUUGUUGAAGCAGGGAACUAGAGAUAAGUUUCUGCAUCUUUUCCUAACUUGUUUUUCAGACCUCUAAACUCUAAAUCUAGUUAAUUCUAUAGUUGGGACAGUUGACGACACAAGUCAUUUCAUGGCGACUGAAGAUGUAACACGAGAACUAGUUUUAGCAAAUUUUAAACAACGCUUCAUUCUCAUUUCUUGUAAGCGUGCUGCUAUAUAAUUUCAGACUAGCACGUUACAGUCAUUUGCAUAUCAAGAAUUACUCGUACAUGCAGACAAGAUUAAAUUGAACUGCAUAUUUUACAGAUAUACAAGAGCUUGCCUUAGUUUCUGAACUAUGUUCUACAAGACCUUAUGGUUCGUCAAUGUCAGUUAAGUUAAUAAUCUGCACUGGGAACAGGAAUGUGUCCUCACUUUGUACUGUUGCGGUGCAAGGGUUGUUGCUAGGAGAAGUACCUUCUGUAGGAUUGAACAAUAUAUCUACGGAAUACUUCCGCUAUUUAUAAAAUCCUAGGACCAGAUUUAGUGGCAACUGGUAAUUAUUGUUUAUACUAACACUGUUGUUGGAGUUCAUAUUCUGCAGUUUCUAGUUUGAUUCCAUGGGAGCUCAUCGGUUUUCAACUACGUCGCUUUUCUAUGUGCUGCAGUUUCUACAAAAUGGUAGUCAAGUUUAAAACAGGUUAAAGUGUUUUGCUUCUAAUGUGUCAACGACAUGUAGUGUUCUUCCAGAUAGUCAUGUAUUUUGGGCAUGAAUUAACCUAAUACAUAUCAUGUAUUUUGGCAUGAAUUAACCAAUGCAUAUGUAACAUGUUGCUAGUGGCA